AUGGCGGCUAGCGAACACACCCUUUGGACAGCUGGUUCUGUGGUGCCGACACCUCUGCUAACUACGGCGAAUAGGCUGGUGGAUCCCUGUGACAACCUGACAGCUGGUGGGGGCGAAAAAGGGGCACCCUUGGUGGAUGCUACCCGCCUGAAGCCGGUUGCCGGGGGACCUAAGGGCUUGAUCGGCGGUAUCAACUGCUUAAGUUGGAAUUGUCGCGGCGCGGGGAACACGACGACUGUUGGUGAGCUAGUUUCUCUGGUUAAAAUCAACAAUCCUAGCAUUAUUUUUCUUUGUGAAACUCGCCAAAAAAAGAAAGAAUGCCGCCUGCGGAAUAGGUUGGGUCUUCGUGGUUUCGAAGGAGUGAGUAGUGAUGGCCUUAGUGGAGGUCUUGUUAUGUAUUGGCAUGAGACUCUGUGA
Molecule: ribosomal RNA, 417 nt
Filed under: Triticum aestivum (bread wheat)
Lineage: Eukaryota; Viridiplantae; Streptophyta; Magnoliopsida; Poales; Poaceae
Description: partial small subunit ribosomal RNA
Source: RNAcentral